This 200-nucleotide ribosomal RNA is filed under the name uncultured bacterium. RNAcentral describes it as "partial 16S ribosomal RNA". It matches the Rfam family "Bacterial small subunit ribosomal RNA", at positions 524 to 723 of the family's 1533-position model. The record is from RNAcentral.
UACGAGGGAUCCUAGCGUUGUUCGGAAUCAUUGGGCGUAAAGGGUGUGUAGGCGGCCAUGUAAGUCAGUUGUGAAAGCCCCGGGCUCAACCCGGGAAGUGCUUCUGAUACUGCUUGGCUUGAGUAUUGGAUAGGUGAGUGGAAUUCCAGGUGUAGUGGUGAAAUACGUAGAUAUCUGGAGGAACACCGGCGGCGAAGGCG